Molecule: ribosomal RNA, 95 nt
Filed under: uncultured bacterium
Lineage: Bacteria
Description: partial 16S ribosomal RNA
Rfam family: Bacterial small subunit ribosomal RNA
Source: RNAcentral
CACCGCCCGUCACACCACGAAAGUUGAUUGCACCAGAAGUCGCUGUGCCAACCGCAAGGAGGCAAGCGCCCAAGGUUCGGUCGAUGAUUGGGGUG